Long non-coding RNA from Cyprinus carpio carpio, 431 nucleotides. Lineage: Eukaryota; Metazoa; Chordata; Actinopteri; Cypriniformes; Cyprinidae. The record is from Ensembl.
AAAAAGAGCUGACUGCAAAGAAUGUGCAGUUCAUGUGCACUGAUGUUAUAUGCAAGUACUGGCCAUACCUGCAGAGAAUUGUUAAAGAUUGUCCAGAGCUCUCUCCUCUCCUGGACAUGAAGCCUUUCCUGUCAGUGAUGCAUGCAAAGGCCCACUCUUGGAAAUGUGAGAUUAAAUGGGGUGGUCGAAACCAAGAAGGAGCAGGCACCACCCUGGGGGAAGAGGUCGAACAAGUUAACAGCUUUUUUGUCGAGAACUGCUAUAUGCAGUAAAUACAUGACCAAAGGAGGCAAAACAGACAUGAUUACAAUCCAGGCCAUGGCAUGGAAUCAGCGCAAAAUACGGAAACUUGCAAAAGCGCUGUCCCUAAGAUUUAAAAAGAUGGGAACAAGAGAAGACACAAACUCCGAAGAAAGAUUUUGGAAGAAAAA